RNAcentral lists this ribosomal RNA (253 nucleotides) under uncultured bacterium. RNAcentral's name for it is "partial 16S ribosomal RNA". It matches the Rfam family "Bacterial small subunit ribosomal RNA", at positions 524 to 776 of the family's 1533-position model. The record is from RNAcentral.
UACGGGGGGAGCAAGCGUUGUUCGGAUUUACUGGGCGUAAAGGGCGCGUAGGCGGAUAGUUCAGUCGGGGGUGAAAGCCCGGGGCUCAACCUCGGAACUGCCUUCGAUACUGGCUAUCUUGAGUACGGGAGAGGUGUGUGGAACUCCGAGUGUAGAGGUGAAAUUCGUAGAUAUUCGGAAGAACACCAGUGGCGAAGGCGACACACUGGCCCGUUACUGACGCUGAGGCGCGAAAGCGUGGGGAGCAAACAGG